CGAGCGAAAGGAAUGAGUCGUCCCCUAUCCUGGUGAAGAAGGGAAAUGCAAGAAAUGGGAGUCCAACACUCUGGAGAAAAGCUAAAGAAAGAAAAAUUCUCUCUAAAACUAAAGAGAGAGAGCGCUAUGUAAAUUUAUGAUUCUUAUAGUUACUAAAAGGGAAAUAAAAUUUAUAUUUCUCUAUAUAAAUUUAAGAUUUUAACAGAUUUAUUUGGUAGUGGAG
This 223-nucleotide unclassified non-coding RNA is filed under the name Hevea brasiliensis (rubber tree). The record is from RNAcentral. Lineage: Eukaryota; Viridiplantae; Streptophyta; Magnoliopsida; Malpighiales; Euphorbiaceae.